RNAcentral lists this ribosomal RNA (391 nucleotides) under uncultured bacterium. Its description in RNAcentral is "bacterial SSU rRNA". It matches the Rfam family "Bacterial small subunit ribosomal RNA", at positions 28 to 420 of the family's 1533-position model. The record is from RNAcentral.
GAUGAACGCUAGCGGCAGGCUUAACACAUGCAAGUCGAGGGGUAUAGGGAGCUUGCUUCCUAGAGACCGGCGCACGGGUGCGUAACGCGUAUGCAAUCUACCUUUUGCAGAGGGAUAGCCCAGAGAAAUUUGGAUUAAUACCUCAUAGUAUGUGAGAAUGGCAUCAUUUUCACAUUAAAGUCACAACGGCAAAAGAUGAGCAUGCGUCCCAUUAGCUUGUUGGUAAGGUAACGGCUUACCAAGGCAACGAUGGGGUAGGGUCCUGAGAGGGAGAUCCCCCCACACUGGUACUGAGACACGGACCAGACUCCUACGGGAGGCAGCAGUGAGGAAUAUGGACAAUGGGCGCAAGCCUGAUCCAGCCAUGCCGCGUGCAGGAUGACGGUCCUAU